GAUGAACGCUGGCGGCGUGCUUAACACAUGCAAGUCGAACGGAAAGGCUCCUGCUUGGAGGGGUUCUCGAGUGGCGCACGGGUGAGUAUCACGUGGGUGAACUGCCCUGCACUUCGGGAUAAGCCUGGGGGACUGGGUCUAUUACCGGAUAGGACGUUGGUUUGGAUGUCAUUGUGGAGUGAUUUUCGGUGUGGGAUGCGCUUGCGGCCUAUCCGCUUGUUGGUGGGGUAGUUGCCUACCAAGUGGGAGACGGGUAGCCGGCCCGAGAGGGGGGACGGCCUCAAUGGGACUGAGAGACGCACCAGUCGCCAACGGGAGGCAGCAGGGGGGAAUAUGGCACAAUGGGGGCAAGCCAGAGGCAGCGACGCCGCGUGCGUAAUGACGGCCUUCGGGUGGAAAACACCUUUCGCUAGGGACGAAGCGCAAGUGACGGUACCUGGAGAAGAAGCACCGGCUAACUACGUG
RNAcentral lists this ribosomal RNA (465 nucleotides) under uncultured bacterium. RNAcentral's name for it is "partial 16S ribosomal RNA". It matches the Rfam family "Bacterial small subunit ribosomal RNA", at positions 28 to 507 of the family's 1533-position model. The record is from RNAcentral.